Small nuclear RNA from Papaver somniferum (opium poppy), 125 nucleotides. NCBI's taxonomy places the organism in Eukaryota, Viridiplantae, Streptophyta, Magnoliopsida, Ranunculales, Papaveraceae. The record is from RefSeq and is a predicted model, not a curated record.
GUGUUCGUUGAAACGAUAGAUGGUUGGCGCCAUCUCCUCUGACAAGGACGGGAACAGCUUUCGAGCUUACAUGCUGCCACAAUCUCCUUAAGGCUAUAUCCGCUUGGUCUUGGGGUGGAUCUUAC